Aspergillus brasiliensis CBS 101740 is the source of this 127-nucleotide non-coding RNA. The record is from the annotation of a GenBank genome assembly. NCBI's taxonomy places the organism in Eukaryota, Fungi, Ascomycota, Eurotiomycetes, Eurotiales, Aspergillaceae.
AGUCGCGUGGUCUAAUGGUUAUGAUUUCUCGUUCACAGUUUUCCAAGCACGUGAGCUUGUUUACUUUCCACAUCAUCAUCUUGAUGGGGUUCCGAGAAGGUUCCCGGUUCGAUCCCGGGCGCGACUA